This 294-nucleotide ribosomal RNA is filed under the name uncultured bacterium. RNAcentral's name for it is "partial 16S ribosomal RNA". It matches the Rfam family "Bacterial small subunit ribosomal RNA", at positions 775 to 1067 of the family's 1533-position model. The record is from RNAcentral.
GGAUUAGAUACCCUGGUAGUCUACGCCGUAAACGAUGGAUACUAGCAUUCGGAGGUGUCGACCCCUUCGGUAGCGAAGCUAACGCGUUAAGUAUCCCGCCUGUGUAGUACGAGCGCAAGCUUAAAACAUAAAGGAAUUGACGGGGACCCGCACAAGCGGUGGAGCGUGUUCUUUAAUUCGAGGCUAAGCGAAGAACCUUACCAGGGCUUGAAAUCCCGAGAAGUCUAUCGAAAGAUGGAUGUGCCUUUUGGAACUCGGUGACAGGUGCUGCAUGGCCGUCGUCAGCUCGUGCCG